Molecule: ribosomal RNA, 275 nt
Filed under: uncultured prokaryote
Description: partial 16S ribosomal RNA
Rfam family: Bacterial small subunit ribosomal RNA
Source: RNAcentral
UACGUAGGUGGCAAGCGUUAUCCGGAUUUACUGGGUGUAAAGGGCGCGCAGGCGGCCCCAAAAGUCAGAUGUGAAAGAUCAAGGCUUAACUUUGACAUGUCAUCUGAAACUUUGGGACUUGAGUAUCAGAGGGGAAAGCGGAAUUCCUGGUGGAGCGGUAAAAUGCGCAGAGAUCAGGAGGAACACCGGUGGCGAAGGCGGCCUCCUGGACCAUUCCUGACACUCAGACGCGAAAGCUAGGGUAGCAAACGGGAUUAGAUACCCCCGUAGUCCCU